GGUGGUGCAUCGCCUCGAGCAUCACUGCGACAGCAACCGGCACGGCACGCAGCAGCGCCGUUAAACAAACCGCUGACAAGCUUAAAGAAAACUGCGCGGAAGUCGCCAGUAUGUGUUACCUUCCAUCACAUUUAAGCAGUACUGCCAGCUGGAAAGAAGCCACUCCGCCUACCACUCCGCCUGGAAAGAAGCGCCGGUGGAUGUGAGAGAUGCGCUUAUCCAACUGACCGACCUCAUACACGAGCACCUCACGAGAACCGCCCACAUUUACGCUCUCAGCCAAUAGACGCACGCACGCCCUAAUAUCGACGUAUCAUCGGUCCAAUCAACACGCAGGCAGCAGGUACAAGUCGCCAAUCGGAUACGGGCAAAGCUCCUCCUGCGGCAAUGCAGAAUUCCAAAGUCGCACAGCAUCACCGUGUGCUCUGAGAAAAUCUUGAUAUAAUGGACUAACCAUAAGCUAAGUCAUAGUCGGUGUGAUUGCAUGAUUAAUGUUUUGUUAACGUGUUUGGUAUAUUGUUUCUCUCAGUGUUUUUUUUUACAUGUAUUAAAUGUGUUGUCAGAGAAAACGAACACAGCUGCAGUUCUGGUUGACACUGCAGCAGGCCUUAAGCAUCUGAAGCAGUAGGCCUUAAAUAUAUAUAUAUAUAUACACUAUUUUUGGUAACACUUUACAAUAAGGUUCAUUAGUUAAUGAGUUAGUUAACUAACAUGAAUUCACCAUGAACAACAUAUUUGUUACUGCAUAAUCUUCAUUAAUGUUAGUUAAUGAAAAUACAGUUGUUCAUUGUUUGUUCAUGUUAGUUCACAGUGCAUUAACAAAUGUUAACAAGAUUUUAAUAAUAUAUUAGUAAAUGUUGAAAUUAACAUUAACAAAGAUUAAGAAACGCUGUAUAAGAGCAGUUCAUUAUUAGUUCAUGUUAACUAAUGAACCUUAUUGUAAAGUGUUGCCAAUCUUUUUUGCAGUUAUCAGAUUUAUUUUAAUGCACCAGUUUUGGUCUCUUCAUUAUGUGUGGUUUAUGUCUGUGUUGUAUGUGAAUCUUUUAUUUCCGCACUGGAAUAAUGAAAGGAUAUUGUAGCUUCUUUAAAUAAGAAUCUUGUUUCCUUUACUCUCUUGUACCAAACAUCUUAGUUAAGUUCAUUUAACUUUGUAAAUCUGAAUUAUUGUUACUUUAAUGCUAUUAGAUGUUCCUAGAAUACUUAGUACAGUAUCAUGAAAAGGAUACUACAGGAAUAGCUUCAUACUGCAUUACAGUAUUGGAACAGAACAGGUGACUGCACGCAAUAUGUCAAAGUUCAUUAGAAAGAGAGGGAGAUGGAGAGAAAGAGGGAUAUUAAAAGUGUGACCUUAAGCUCAGUGACCCUAGAAAGGUCAAGCUUAAAACAUAAAUACAUUCUGUCACCUUAAAAUAAUACAGAAUUGAGUAUUCAUGUUUCUUAGAAAGAACAUGAAUAACACAAAUUCAUAUGUUUAUGAAUAGUACAAUUUGUAUGUAUAAUCAGACCCACCAUCUACAUACACCUCUAGUAAUUACCUGUGUUCAUGACCUAGACUACCAGUGUAGUAACCUACUCUAAAGAUGCAUGCACCUCUUUACAAUAACUCCAU
Megalobrama amblycephala (Wuchang bream) is the source of this 1609-nucleotide long non-coding RNA. RefSeq lists it as uncharacterized. The transcript has 2 exons. Lineage: Eukaryota; Metazoa; Chordata; Actinopteri; Cypriniformes; Xenocyprididae. The record is from RefSeq and is a predicted model, not a curated record.